UAGUCGGUACAUGCCACGAUGCCAACCAACAGUUUUCCUCCAAAAUCCCCACUUCUGCCUAAAGUUUCAAAUCUACAUUUAAGGGCCAUAAAUUCUCUUUUACAAUUCUACACUUCAAAUUCAUUGUCCAUUAUUGUUAUAUAUUGGUGCGUUUAUGCAGCUGUAAUCUUUGUUCACUAAAUCCACAUACUACUUUUUCUAACAAUUUUGAAAGUUUCCGUUGGCUUAGAUAUUCUCGCCCUAACCUUGUUCUUUUCAUAAGGGUUGACAUCUCUAUAUAGAAUGAGCAAAAGAAAGAGUAGAGAAUCGGAAUCGAGGCCACCAUCACCAGCUGAGGUAUCAUCAUGUUCAUCUUCAUGUUCAAAAACUUAUUCAUCAAAGAUGAGCGUUCACGAGGGAGCCAUGUCGGCUAAAGAAGAUAAUGAGCAAUAUGAAAAAGCAGUUACAAAGGAAAUGGUUCUUGUUGGUUGUCCUAGAUGUUUCAUGUAUGUUAUGUCAUCAGAAGUGGAACCAAAGUGCCCCAAGUGUAACACUUCGGUAUUUCUUGACCUUUUCACAUAGGAAGAUUAGAUGUAGGAAAUUAGGAGAAUCAAAAGAAUAUUAUUGAGCUGUCGUGUGUACGUUAUUACGAUCCAAAAAGCAUAUGUGGUUACUCUAUUUUUAUUAUAAACUAGUGUUGGUUCCAAUCAUCCUACUUCUUGAGUAAGAGUGUGUUUCUAAGUUUGUUUUUUGAGAUGUAUAAAUUUCAAUUAAUGUGGA
Molecule: non-coding RNA, 759 nt
Organism: Cicer arietinum (chickpea)
Lineage: Eukaryota; Viridiplantae; Streptophyta; Magnoliopsida; Fabales; Fabaceae
Source: RefSeq, a predicted model, not a curated record